Molecule: ribosomal RNA, 497 nt
Filed under: uncultured bacterium
Lineage: Bacteria
Description: partial 16S ribosomal RNA
Rfam family: Bacterial small subunit ribosomal RNA
Source: RNAcentral
GAUGAACGCUGGCGGCGUGCCUAAUACAUGCAAGUCGAGCGAACGGACGAGAAGCUUGCUUUUCUGAUGUUAGCGGCGGACGGGUGAGUAACACGUGGAUAACCUACCUAUAAGACUGGGAUAACUUCGGGAAACCGGAGCUAAUACCGGAUAAUAUUUUGAACCGCAUGGUUCAAAAGUGAAAGACGGUCUUGCUGUCACUUAUAGAUGGAUCCGCGCUGCAUUAGCUAGUUGGUAAGGUAACGGCUUACCAAGGCAACGAUGCAUAGCCGACCUGAGAGGGUGAUCGGCCACACUGGAACUGAGACACGGUCCAGACUCCUACGGGAGGCAGCAGUAGGGAAUCUUCCGCAAUGGGCGGAAGCCUGACGGAGCAACGCCGCGUGAGUGAUGAAGGUCUUCGGAUUGUAAAACUCUGUUAUUAGGGAAGAACAUAUGUGUAAGUAACUGUGCACAUCUUGACGGUACCUAAUCAGAAAGCCACGGCUAACUACGUG